CCUACGGUGGGCAGCAGUGAGGAAUAUUGGUCAAUGGGCGAGAGCCUGAACCAGCCAAGUCGCGUGAGGGAAGACGGUCCUAUGGAUUGUAAACCUCUUUUGUCGGGGAGCAAAAAGGCCUCGUGAGGCCACAAGUGAGAGUACCCGAAGAAAAAGCAUCGGCUAACUCCGUGCCAGCAGCCGCGGUAAUACGGAGGAUGCGAGCGUUAUCCGGAUUUAUUGGGUUUAAAGGGAGCGUAGGUGGAUUGUUAAGUCAGUUGUGAAAGUUUGCGGCUCAACCGUAAAAUUGCAGUUGAAACUGGCAGUCUUGAGUACAGUAGAGGUGGGCGGAAUUCGUGGUGUAGCGGUGAAAUGCUUAGAUAUCACGAAGAACUCCGAUUGCGAAGGCAGCUCACUGGACUGCAACUGACACUGAGGCUCGAAAGUGUGGGUAUCAAACAGGAUUAGAUACCCGAGUAGUC
RNAcentral lists this ribosomal RNA (461 nucleotides) under uncultured bacterium. RNAcentral's name for it is "partial 16S ribosomal RNA". It matches the Rfam family "Bacterial small subunit ribosomal RNA", at positions 338 to 795 of the family's 1533-position model. The record is from RNAcentral.